GAUGAACGCUGGCGGCGUGCCUAAUACAUGCAAGUCGAGCGAGCAGACGAGGAGCUUGCUCCUCUGACGUUAGCGGCGGACGGGUGAGUAACACGUGGAUAACCUACCUAUAAGACUGGGAUAACUUCGGGAAACCGGAGCUAAUACCGGAUAAUAUAUUGAACCGCAUGGUUCAAUAGUGAAAGACGGUUUUGCUGUCACUUAUAGAUGGAUCCGCGCCGCAUUAGCUAGUUGGUAAGGUAACGGCUUACCAAGGCAACGAUGCGUAGCCGACCUGAGAGGGUGAUCGGCCACACUGGAACUGAGACACGGUCCAGACUCCUACGGGAGGCAGCAGUAGGGAAUCUUCCGCAAAGGGCGAAAGCCUGACGGAGCAACGCCGCGUGAGUGAUGAAGGUCUUCGGACCGUAAAACUCUGUUAUUAGGGAAGAACAAAUGUGUAAGUAACUAUGCACGUCUUGACGGUACCUAAUCAGAAAGCCACGGCUAACUACGUG
RNAcentral lists this ribosomal RNA (497 nucleotides) under uncultured bacterium. RNAcentral's name for it is "partial 16S ribosomal RNA". It matches the Rfam family "Bacterial small subunit ribosomal RNA", at positions 28 to 507 of the family's 1533-position model. The record is from RNAcentral.